Molecule: ribosomal RNA, 253 nt
Filed under: uncultured bacterium
Lineage: Bacteria
Description: partial 16S ribosomal RNA
Rfam family: Bacterial small subunit ribosomal RNA
Source: RNAcentral
UACGGAGGGGGCUAGCGUUGUUCGGAUUUAUUGGGCGUAAAGCGCGUGUAGGCGGUUUCUUAAGUCUGAUGUGAAAGCCCCGGGCUCAACCCGGGAAGUGCAUUGGAUACUGGGAGACUUGAAUACGGGAGAGGGUAGUGGAAUUCCUAGUGUAGGAGUGAAAUCCGUAGAUAUUAGGAGGAACACCGGUGGCGAAGGCGGCUACCUGGACCGAUAUUGACGCUGAGACGCGAAAGCGUGGGGAGCAAACAGG